This 206-nucleotide long non-coding RNA is filed under the name Rattus norvegicus (Norway rat). Its description in RNAcentral is "long non-coding RNA NONRATT026467". The record is from RNAcentral. Lineage: Eukaryota; Metazoa; Chordata; Mammalia; Rodentia; Muridae.
GGCCCUCUGGCCUCAUCAUGGCCAGAAAGGACAAGACUUGCUGGGCUGCUCUGUGAGCCAUGGGCAACUGGCUAGGGAAAGGCCCUGCAUGGAGUCUGCAUGUCUGCCAGUCACUGGGCAGAGCACUGGCCUGGCACACACAAAGCCCUGGGUGCCAUCCAUCCCCAGUACCAGGUAAACAUGAGUGGAGUGCAUGCCUACUGUCC